Molecule: ribosomal RNA, 947 nt
Filed under: Chryseobacterium sp.
Lineage: Bacteria; Pseudomonadati; Bacteroidota; Flavobacteriia; Flavobacteriales; Weeksellaceae
Description: bacterial SSU rRNA
Rfam family: Bacterial small subunit ribosomal RNA
Source: RNAcentral
UCUUCGGGAUCUUGAGAGCGGCGCACGGGUGCGGAACACGUGUGCAACCUGCCUUUAUCAGGGGAAUAGCCUUUCGAAAGGAAGAUUAAUGCCCCAUAAUAUAUCAUAUGGCAUCAUUUGAUAUUGAAAACUCCGGUGGAUAAAGAUGGGCACGCGCAGGAUUAGAUAGUUGGUAGGGUAACGGCCUACCAAGUCAGCGAUCCUUAGGGGGCCUGAGAGGGUGAUCCCCCACACUGGUACUGAGACACGGACCAGACUCCUACGGGAGGCAGCAGUGAGGAAUAUUGGACAAUGGGUGAGAGCCUGAUCCAGCCAUCCCGCGUGAAGGACGACGGCCCUAUGGGUUGUAAACUUCUUUUGUAUAGGGAUAAACCUACCCUCGUGAGGGUAGCUGAAGGUACUAUACGAAUAAGCACCGGCUAACUCCGUGCCAGCAGCCGCGGUAAUACGGAGGGUGCAAGCGUUAUCCGGAUUUAUUGGGUUUAAAGGGUCCGUAGGCUGAUGUGUAAGUCAGUGGUGAAAUCUCACAGCUUAACUGUGAAACUGCCAUUGAUACUGCAUGUCUUGAGUGUUGUUGAAGUAGCUGGAAUAAGUAGUGUAGCGGUGAAAUGCAUAGAUAUUACUUAGAACACCAAUUGCGAAGGCAGGUUACUAAGCAACAACUGACGCUGAUGGACGAAAGCGUGGGGAGCGAACAGGAUUAGAUACCCUGGUAGUCCACGCCGUAAACGAUGCUAACUCGUUUUUGGGCUUUUGGGUUCAGAGACUAAGCGAAAGUGAUAAGUUAGCCACCUGGGGAGUACGUUCGCAAGAAUGAAACUCAAAGGAAUUGACGGGGGGCCCGCACAAGCGGUGGAUUAUGUGGUUUAAUUCGAUGAUACGCGAGGAACCUUACCAAGGCUUUAAAUGGGAAAUGACAGGCUUAGAAAUAGGCUUUUUCUUCGGAC